AACGAACGCUGGCGGCAUGCCUAACACAUGCAAGUCGAACGAGACCUUCGGGUCUAGUGGCGCACGGGUGCGUAACGCGUGGGAACCUGCCCUUAGGUUCGGAAUAACUCCCCGAAAGGGGUGCUAAUACCGGAUAAUGUCUUCGGACCAAAGAUUUAUCGCCUUUGGAUGGGCCCGCGUUGGAUUAGCUAGUUGGUAGGGUAAAAGCCUACCAAGGCGACGAUCCAUAGCUGGUCUGAGAGGAUGAUCAGCCACACUGGGACUGAGACACGGCCCAGACCCCUACGGGAAGCAGCAGUGGGGAAUAUUGGACAAUGGGCGAAAGCCUGAUCCAGCAAUGCCGCGUGAGUGAUGAAGGCCUUAGGGUUGUAAAGCUCUUUUACCCGGGAUGAUAAUGACAGUACCGGGAGAAUAAGCUCCGGCUAACUCCGUG
This 433-nucleotide ribosomal RNA is filed under the name uncultured bacterium. RNAcentral's name for it is "partial 16S ribosomal RNA". It matches the Rfam family "Bacterial small subunit ribosomal RNA", at positions 29 to 507 of the family's 1533-position model. The record is from RNAcentral.